UACUUUAUCUAUUCACCACCCUGCACGCGCCCGAUCUCGUCUGAUCUCGGAAGCUAAGCAGGGUCGGGCCUGGUUAGUACUUGGAUGGGAGACCACCUGGGAAUACCGGGUGCUGUAGGGG
Marmota marmota marmota (Alpine marmot) is the source of this 121-nucleotide ribosomal RNA. The record is from Ensembl. Lineage: Eukaryota; Metazoa; Chordata; Mammalia; Rodentia; Sciuridae.